GAUGAAGAACGCAGCGAAAUGCGAUAAGUAGUGUGAAUUGCAGAAUUCAGUGAAUCAUCGAAUCUUUGAACGCACAUUGCGCCCUUUGGUAUUCCUUAGGGCAUGCCUGUUCGAGCGUCAUUUAAACCUUCAAGCUCAGCUUGGUGUUGGGUGACUGUCCGCUUCACCGCGGACUCGCCUCAAAAUUAUUGGCGGCCGGUACAUUGGCUUCGAGCGCAGCAGAAACGCGAACUCGGGCCCGUCGUAUUGGCUCCCAGAAGCUAUCUUCACAAUUUUGACCUCGGAUCAGGUAGGGAUACCCGCUGAACUUAAGCAUAUCUAAGCGGAGGA
RNAcentral lists this unclassified non-coding RNA (330 nucleotides) under soil metagenome. RNAcentral describes it as "partial contains 5.8S ribosomal RNA, internal transcribed spacer 2, and large subunit ribosomal RNA". The stretch from base 1 to 120 matches the Rfam family "5.8S ribosomal RNA", at positions 35 to 154 of the family's 154-position model. The record is from RNAcentral.